AGUGAACGCCGGCGGUAGGCCUAACACAUGCAAGUCGAACGGCGGCACAGGAGAGCUUGCUCUCUGGGUGGCGAGUGGCGGACGGGUGAGGGAUACAUCGGAAUCUACUCUGUCGUGGGGGAUAACGUAGGGAAACUUACGCUAAUACCGCAUACGACCUACGGGUGAAAGCAGGGGAUCUUCGGACCUUGCGCGAUUGAAUGAGCCGAUGUCGGAUUAGCUAGUUGGCGGGGUAAAGGCCCACCAAGGCGACGAUCCGUAGCUGGUCUGAGAGGAUGAUCAGCCACACUGGAACUGAGACACGGUCCAGACUCCUACGGGAGGCAGCAGUGGGGAAUAUUGGACAAUGGGCGCAAGCCUGAUCCAGCCAUACCGCGUGGGUGAAGAAGGCCUUCGGGUUGUAAAGCCCUUUUGUUGGGAAAGAAAUCCAGCUGGCUAAUACCCGGUUGGGAUGACGGUACCCAAAGAAUAAGCACCGGCUAACUUCGUGCCAGCAGCCGCCGUAA
This 506-nucleotide ribosomal RNA is filed under the name uncultured bacterium. Its description in RNAcentral is "partial 16S ribosomal RNA". It matches the Rfam family "Bacterial small subunit ribosomal RNA", at positions 29 to 523 of the family's 1533-position model. The record is from RNAcentral.